GAGUGUGAAGACCAUCAGACACUCCAGAGAUCGCCAGGGGUAAUUCUGCUGAUCUGGCUGGCUAGGUGAUGUCUCCUUCCUCCCUCACUGCACAGGGGGGGCCCUCCUGAAGCUGCAGGCUCAGUCUCCCUGAAUAGAGAAGGACCUGUCUCCGGACGAAGGUAGAAGAGUAGCCCUCCCCUGCUAGAGCCUCCAAGCAAGCUCAGAGCGGCCAGCUUCCAGGGCUGUGUCUUUAAGCAGCCUCAUGGACCCCUAGUUAUCACACCGGGCUAUUUCUUUUCU
RNAcentral lists this small nuclear RNA (282 nucleotides) under Erinaceus europaeus (western European hedgehog). RNAcentral describes it as "7SK RNA". It matches the Rfam family "7SK RNA". From Rfam's summary of the family: 7SK was discovered as an abundant small nuclear RNA in the mid-70s but a possible function has only recently been suggested. Two independent studies have found that 7SK RNA binds the CDK9/cyclin T complex (known as elongation factor P-TEFb). P-TEFb activates transcription by phosphorylating the C-terminal domain of RNA polymerase II. Lineage: Eukaryota; Metazoa; Chordata; Mammalia; Eulipotyphla; Erinaceidae. The record is from Rfam by way of RNAcentral.